GACGUAGGGUGCAAGCGUUGUCCGGAUUUAUUGGGCGUAAAGAGCUCGUAGGCGGCUUGUUGCGUCGACUGUGAAAACCCGCGGCUUAACCGCGGGCUUGCAGUUGAUACGGGCAGGCUAGAGUUCGGUAGGGGAGACUGGAAUUCCUGGUGUAGCGGUGAAAUGCGCAGAUAUCGGGAGGAACACCAGUAGCGAAGGCGGCACUCUGGGCCGGUACUGACGCUGAGGAGCGAAAGCGUGGGGAGCAAACAGG
This 253-nucleotide ribosomal RNA is filed under the name uncultured bacterium. RNAcentral's name for it is "partial 16S ribosomal RNA". It matches the Rfam family "Bacterial small subunit ribosomal RNA", at positions 524 to 776 of the family's 1533-position model. The record is from RNAcentral.